This 670-nucleotide long non-coding RNA is filed under the name Brassica napus (rape). RNAcentral's name for it is "long non-coding RNA (BNAP_LNC014996)". The record is from RNAcentral. Lineage: Eukaryota; Viridiplantae; Streptophyta; Magnoliopsida; Brassicales; Brassicaceae.
AGGCAAGAGGAGAGCUUCUUAGCCACCACUGUAUUCUUACUUUCAGGAAGAGAGAGAGAGAGUUUUACGAGAGAAAAUCAUAGAGAGAUUUGUGAUUGGAACUCCAUUGAUUCAUUUAUUCUAUGUCCUGGCUGAUCACAUGUGUAACAUACGCAAGUGUUACCAUGAUUGUUGGCUUGGCCUCCAAAUCCCCGCCCUUUGCCUUUUUUAAAUCUUGGACCCAUGUUGAAAUUUGGCCUUUCUCCUUGGCUAAACUUGGUAUGUCCACCAAAAUGUUGUAUAGUCUUCCUUUCCGCCUCUAACACAGUCUCAACAUUAACAGCUUUUUCCACCAACUCCGAUAAGCGGCUAAAGUUUGCUUCCAGCUAAACUACUUCCAAGCUCUGGCUUCAAUCCGUACAUAAAGUUACGGAUCAUAGUUGCUUCAUCUUCGCGCCCAUCAAAUACAUGUCGUCUCAACCUUGUGAACUCCGGCUCAUAACUCCUUACCGGCCUAUCUCCUUGAACAAGGUUUAUAAACGGACGCUCCAAUCGAUGCUUCGCUUCUGGAGGAAAGUACUUCCUCUCAAACUCUCCCUUGAACGAUUCCCAUGAUGUGAUGGUAUGUCCACGCUGCCUCUCUAUGCUGUCCCACCAGCCCGUUGCGUCUCCUUCCAGAUAGUACACAGCG